This is a long non-coding RNA of Sinocyclocheilus grahami, 254 nucleotides long. RefSeq lists it as uncharacterized. The transcript has 3 exons. Lineage: Eukaryota; Metazoa; Chordata; Actinopteri; Cypriniformes; Cyprinidae. The record is from RefSeq and is a predicted model, not a curated record.
UUUGCUACUGACCCGUGAGAUUACUCGGUCACUCAGUUCCUGAUUAUGUGCCUGUUACAUUCUUAUUUUAAACUAAUAUGAGUUGUGACAUGUCAACGGAGAACAGAAGCUGGAGUGUGAACACAGAGGAAGGGGCAGACUGCAUAUCAGAUCAAGCACGCGUUUUUCAGGGAAAAGAGGCACCCAACACAGAGACUACAGUGGCACAAAAACGGGGAAUAGAACUUGUCACCAUCAUCAGUCCUUUAUUUCAU